CGGCGGACGGGUGAGUAACACGUGGGUAAUCUGCCUUAUACAGGGGGAUAACAGUUAGAAAUGACUGCUAAUACCGCAUAAGCGCACGGAAACGCAUGUUUCUGUGUGAAAAACUCCGGCAGUAUAAGAUGAGCCCGCGUCUGAUUAGCUGGUUGGUGGGGUAACGGCCUACCAAGGCGACGAUCAGUAGCCGGCCUGAGAGGGUGAACGGCCACAUUGGGACUGAGACACGGCCCAAACUCCUACGGGAGGCAGCAG
This 258-nucleotide ribosomal RNA is filed under the name uncultured bacterium. Its description in RNAcentral is "partial 16S ribosomal RNA". It matches the Rfam family "Bacterial small subunit ribosomal RNA", at positions 96 to 354 of the family's 1533-position model. The record is from RNAcentral.